Molecule: transfer RNA, 70 nt
Filed under: Cetonurus globiceps (globehead grenadier)
Lineage: Eukaryota; Metazoa; Chordata; Actinopteri; Gadiformes; Macrouridae
Description: tRNA-Val
Source: RNAcentral
CAGGACAUAGCAUAAAGCAAAGCAUCUCCCUUACUCUGAGAAGACGCCCAUGCAAACUGGGCUGCCCCGA